This 467-nucleotide ribosomal RNA is filed under the name uncultured bacterium. Its description in RNAcentral is "partial 16S ribosomal RNA". It matches the Rfam family "Bacterial small subunit ribosomal RNA", at positions 28 to 507 of the family's 1533-position model. The record is from RNAcentral.
GACGAACGCUGGCGGCGUGCUUAACACAUGCAAGUCGAACGGAAAGGCCUCUUUCUUGGGGUACUCGCGUGGCGAACGGGUGAGUAACACGUGAGUAACCUGCCCUUGACUUUGGGAUAACUUCCGGAAACUGGGGCUAAUACCGGAUAGGAGCUCCUGCUGCCUGGUGGGGGUUGGAAAGUUUCGGCGGUUGGGUAUGGACUCGCGGCGUAUCAGCUUGUUGGUGGGGUAGUGGCUUACCAAGGCUUUGACGUGUAGCCGGACUGAGAGGGUGACCGGCCACAUUGGGACUGAGAUACGGCACAGACUCCGACGGGAGGCAGAAGUGGGGAAUAUUGCACAAGGGGUGGAAGCCGGAUGCAGCAACGCCGCGUGCGGGAUGACGGUCUUAGGGUUGAAAACCGAUUUCGCUCAUGACGAAGCUUUGUGUGACGGUAGUGGGUAAAGAAGCACCGGCUAACUACGUG